CGUGACUUGAGUAUGGGCAUGCAGUUUGGAAAGAAAAUGCAUCCACAUCUCAAGCUAUUGA
Molecule: microRNA precursor, 61 nt
Organism: Astatotilapia calliptera (eastern happy)
Lineage: Eukaryota; Metazoa; Chordata; Actinopteri; Cichliformes; Cichlidae
Source: Ensembl